CAGCACACUGGAGGCUGAAAUUCAGGGGCGGUAGCUAU
Molecule: non-coding RNA, 38 nt
Organism: Aeromonas molluscorum 848
Lineage: Bacteria; Pseudomonadati; Pseudomonadota; Gammaproteobacteria; Aeromonadales; Aeromonadaceae
Source: Rfam